UUUUUUUUUUUUUUUUUUUUUUUGGCUUACACUUCCACAUUGCUGUUUAUUACUGAAGGAAGUCAGGAAAGAAACUCAAAUGGGGUGGGAACCUGGAGGCAGAAGCUGAUGCAGAGGUUGUAGAGGAGUGCUGCUUAUUGGCUUGCUCCUCAUGGCUCCCUCAGCCUGCUUUAUUUGUAGAACCCAGGACCACCAGCCCAAGGAUGGUAUCACCUAAAAUGGUCUGGGCCCUUCCCCAUCAAUCACUAAUUAAGAAAAUGCUUUAUAGCUGGAGCCUAUGGAGUAAUUUUCUCUGGUGAGGCUCCCUCCUCUUAGAUGACUCUAGCUUGUGUCAAGCUGACAUAAAAGUAGGCAGCACAAACACUUAAUAAGUAAUUGAUAAAUUCUAGCUCAUAACUUCAAAUCUACUCAUUAUAUCUUCAUCCAUAUCAACCAUGAACAUGUAGUUUAUUCUGUAGUCUCCUAUUUAAUUUAUUAUCUGUCCUUCUCUUUAAAGUGUGUGCUCCCCAAGGGCAGGGCACUAUGGGAGCCUUCUCAGUGUAUGGUGGCAUUCCUGUGCUCUGGGGCAGUGUCUGUAAAGUGCGUACUCUUGACCAAUCAAUGGGUGAGAACCAGAAACGACGGAGGACUUACUGGGAAGCAGCAGAGCUGAGCUUGACAUUUAGCCAUGCGACUGAAGAACUUGCUGGAGCUUUUCUGGGUCUCCACUUCUUGAAUUUUGUUGCCCAGAGAACCUCAAAAUCUCAUAUAGCUCUAGCAUUCUGUGUGAAUGUACAUAACCUCAGACUCAGACAGUAGAACUGUGGCGAAUGUGCACAUAUACGAUGUGGGAAGGGAGGAAGAGAAAGAGAAAAGAAGAGAUGACAUGAUGCUUUCUUGGUAGUUUUUUUUUUUAAUUUAAAUACUUUCUUGAUCCUUAGUUAAAACAGUGGUUCAUUGGUUUCACAAAUAAAUAGGAUUUAAAAUAUGGUAUAAAAAUAUCUAAAACUUUCUUGGCUGUUCCCAUUAUUGAGGAAACUAUCUCCUGAGUCCUAUUUCUCAAGGGCUGUUUCGUCUUCAUAGUGUUGAAGGCUCACGACACCUUUAAAAAGUGUUUGCCUGUUUGUAAGUUUUAUAACAUAAUUAAUUAAUGUUGAGACCUACACAUGUAAGUACUGGAUUUACUUCACCUCCCUCCCCCACCAUUUCUUCCCUCUAAUUCCUCCUGUGCCCUCAAUAAAACUCAUGGCCUCUUAUUCUUUUAAACACAUGGGCGCACAUGCGUGUGCGUGCGCGCGCGCACACACACACACACACACACACACACACACACACACACACACUCACACUGAUAAGUACAACCUACUGAGUCCCUUUAGUGAUGGUCAUUUCUUUUUUUUUCUUCCCCCUUUGAUUUUUUUGUUUUGUUUUUUUGAGACAGGAUUUCUCUGUGUAGCCCUGGCUGUCCUGGAACUCACUCUGUAGACCAGGCUAUUUUUGAACUCAGAAAUCUGCCUGCCUCCGCCUCCCAAGUUCUGGGAUUAAAGACGAGGGCCACCAUGGCAUGAUGCUCAUUUCUAAUCUAUCAGGGGACUCUUCUCAAAGACUGAUCCUCCACCCAGCAGUCAUUAACUCCCUGUAGCUUUUCAUCUAACCAUUGGCCUUGUGAGAUUCUCCUAUCCACUUUAGUGUGUGUUGUCAUUUUCCAGGUCUUGUUCAGGCAACCAUAUUGUUGAGACAUCGUAAGUGUAGCUUUUCUCGCUGUCAUUUACAGAAGAUACCAUUUGAGAGCUGAUGUCCCUGUCCUCUGGCUCUUACAACCUUUCCUCAUUCUCUCCUAUGAUGUUCCCUGAGCUUUAGGUAUAGGGUCUGUGUUGUAGGUACAUCAGGUGAAGCUGGGCACCCCACAGUCAGUGAGUCUCUGCACUUUGACCAGCUAUGACUUUCUGGAAUAGUCUCUGUCUUCUGAAAAACAAAGUAGAAGCUUCUUUGAUGGAGGUGAGGGAUACACUCAUCUGCAGGCCUAAGGGUAGUUAGAAUAUAGUUAAAAAUUAUACUGUCUUAGGAAAGUGGUUCCUUCUCGGGCCCAUGACCUCAUCAAACAUGAUAGCUGGUUAGGUUUACAGUGCCAGGUGUGAAUUCUUUCCUGUUGAGCCUUAAGUGCAAUUAGACAACUGUCCAUUAACCCCAGACAAUAAGUGCCACUGUCACACUGUCUCAUCCUUGUUGAAGUCUCCGGACACUGGAUUUAGGAGGGCUGUUCAUCACCUUUCCCCCUUGGCAGCCUGCCUAGCGUCCUCUGGGGCUAUAAGAGUUAGUCCUCAGGGAGGAGGCUUCUGGGUCAGAUUCAGUUGGUUUCCUUCAAGCCCUCUGUCCGACAUGCAUCUUCAGCAAUAUGAUCCUACUUUCAAAGUCUAGGAUGUAACCAAAGGCUUUGGCACAAUUGUUCGGGGAGUCCUUGUCUUCCCUUGACUAGGAACUCAAUGGGGAGCUUCCUAUCCUGGGCAUUUGGAGUUUUGUUAGGUAAUCUAUGGCUUCUGGGAGGAGCACUAACACCCUAAAUGGCGUGAAAACUUAAACAAAAACUUUAUUAACACACACACAGAUAUUUCAUGUGAUAUUAAGUAAACAGGGUAAUAUUCCCUAUGGCCUUUUAAAAUGUCAUUAGUAUUUAUCAUGUUAUUUUAAUGAUAAAAUUUAUUCAGAUUUGUGAUCUCAUCAGAGGGGAAAAAGCCUAAGAAAG
Molecule: long non-coding RNA, 2722 nt
Filed under: Mus musculus (house mouse)
Lineage: Eukaryota; Metazoa; Chordata; Mammalia; Rodentia; Muridae
Description: long non-coding RNA chr10:112185673-112188395
Source: RNAcentral